CCUACGGGUGGCAGCAGUGAGGAAUAUUGGUCAAUGGGCGCGAGCCUGAACCAGCCAAGUAGCGUGAAGGAUGACUGCCCUACGGGUUGUAAACUUCUUUUAUAAAGGAAUAAAAUGAGGCACGUGUGCCUUUUUGUAUGUACUUUAUGAAUAAGGAUCGGCUAACUCCGUGCCAGCAGCCGCGGUAAUACGGAGGAUCCGAGCGUUAUCCGGAUUUAUUGGGUUUAAAGGGUGCGUAGGCGGGUUGGUAAGUUAGUGGUGAAAUGUCGGGGCUUAACCCGGGAACUGCAACUAAUACUGUCGGGCGAGAGAGUAGAUGAGGUAGGCGGAAUGUGUGGUGUAGCGGUGAAAUGCUUAGAGAUCACAAAGAACACCGAUUGCGAAGGCAGCUUACCAAGCU
RNAcentral lists this ribosomal RNA (400 nucleotides) under uncultured bacterium. RNAcentral's name for it is "partial 16S ribosomal RNA". It matches the Rfam family "Bacterial small subunit ribosomal RNA", at positions 338 to 735 of the family's 1533-position model. The record is from RNAcentral.